This 465-nucleotide ribosomal RNA is filed under the name uncultured bacterium. RNAcentral describes it as "partial 16S ribosomal RNA". It matches the Rfam family "Bacterial small subunit ribosomal RNA", at positions 339 to 795 of the family's 1533-position model. The record is from RNAcentral.
CUACGGGAUGCAGCAGUGGGGAAUAUUGCACAAUGGGCGCAAGCCUGAUGCAGCCAUGCCGCGUGUAUGAAGAAGGCCUUCGGGUUGUAAAGUACUUUCAGCGGGGAGGAAGGGAGUAAAGUUAAUACCUUUGCUCAUUGACGUUACCCGCAGAAGAAGCACCGGCUAACUCCGUGCCAGCAGCCGCGGUAAUACGGAGGGUGGCAAGCGUUAAUCGGAAUUACUGGGCGUAAAGCGCACGCAGGCGGUUUGUUAAGUCAGAUGUGAAAUCCCCGGGCUCAACCUGGGAACUGCAUCUGAUACUGGCAAGCUUGAGUCUCGUAGAGGGGGGUAGAAGUCCAGGUGUAGCGGUGAAAUGCGUAGAGAUCUGGAGGAAUACCGGUGGCGAAGGCGGCCCCCUGGACGAAGACUGACGCUCAGGUGCGAAAGCGUGGGGAGCAAACAGGAUUAGAUACCCUCGUAGUC